CGAAGAUCGCGUCUGUGGUGCUGAUCUCAUCCUUGUUCCAUGGCCCCAUGAGCUCCUUGUACAGAUGCCGGAGGGCGGGGGCCAUGCCCUUGUCUGCACCGGGACAGAGAGGAGAGGACAUGUGAGGCUUAUGCUGAAUUGAGGGUUCCCAGCCGAGCCCACUUCCCCCACAAGGGGCUCCACUCUGAUGGAUGGGGGCUACCGUGCUUUCCCAGGGCUCUCUGGAGGGAGAUUUCAUUCCAGGAUGAAAUCUCUUUUCUGUAUCUCCUUCCUUUCUUCAAAAGUCUCAGAUCCCAACCCUUUCUUUGGGCUAGAAUAUUUUUCUCUGUUCUUAAAUUAUGAACCCUAAAUAUUUUCUUCCUGUUUUUUUUUUUUUUUUUUUUUUGAGUUGGAGUUUUGCUCUUGUCUCCCAGGCUGGAGUGCAAUGGCGCGAUGUCAGCUUACUGCAACCUCUGCCUCCUGGAUGAACCCUAAAUAUUUUCUUUCUUCUUCUUUUUCUUUUUUUUUUUUUUUCAGACAGGGCUUCCCUUUGUUGCCCAGGCUGAAGUGCAGUGGUACAAUCAUAGCUCACUGCAGCCUCCAGCUCCUGGGCUCAAGCCAUCCUCCCACCUCAGCCUCCUGAGUAGUUGGGACUACAGGUAUGUGUCACCACAUCUGGCUAAUUUGUAAAUUUUUUUGUAGAGGCAGGGGUCUCCCUGUUGCUCAGUCUUGUCUCGAACUUCUGGCCUCAAGUGAUCCUCCUGCCUCAAUCUUCCAAAGUGCUGAAAUUACAGUCAUAAGCCACCUUGCCUGGCCUUAGUUUUUUUUUUCUUUUCCUUUCUUUCUUUGUUUCUUUGUUUCUUUCUUUCUUUCUCUCUCUCUCUUUCUUUCUUUCUUCUUCUUUCUUUCUCUCUCUUCUCUCUCUCUCUCUCUUUCUUUUCUUUUUUUUGACAGGUCUCACUCUGUCACCCAGGCUGGAGUGCAAUGGUGUGAUCUCAGCUCACUGCCACCUCCACCUCCCGGGUUAAAGUGAUUCUUGUGUCUCAGCUUCCUGAGUAGCUGGGAUUACAGGUGCACCACCUCAUCAGACUAAUUUUUAUAUUUUUAUUAGAGACGGGGUUUCACCGUAUUGCCCAGGCUGGCCUUGAACUCCUAGCCUUGGGUGAUCCUCCUGCCUCAAACUCCGAAAGUGCUGAGAUUACAGGCAUGAGGCACUGUGCCUGGCCUUAGAUUUUUUUCCUAUAGUGAUGGCUAUGCUAAGUAUUUCACAAGUGUAAUUCCAUGAAUUCUUUUAUUUUUUUUUUUUGAGACGGAGUCUCUCUCUGUCGCCCAGGCUGGAGUGCAGUGGCACGAUCUCAGCUCACUGCAAGCUCUGCCUCCUGGGUUCAUGCCAUUCUCCUGCCUCAGCCUCCCGAGUAGCUGGGACUACAGGCGCCUGCCACCACGCCUGGCUAAUUUUUUUUGUAUUUUUAGUAGAGAUGGAGUUUCACUGUGUUAGCCAGGAUGGUCUUGAUCUCCUGACCUCAUGAUCCGCCCGCCUUGGCCUCCCAAAGUGCUGGGAUUACAGGCGUUUGAGCCACCGCGCCCGGCUCAUGAAUUCUUUAGGACAGCAAAUAAUCCUCAUUUUGUAGAUGGGCAAACUUAACGAGGUUAAGAUCACACGGUGGUGAAUAAGCGGUAAAUCUACUGGUCAGACACCCUUGGAGAUUCAAGGGUCCAGUGACUUGGAGUGUAGUGGGAAGAAGAUGGGGUGGCCCCUGCAGCACAGCUGUAUGGGGCUUGGCUCGGCUAAGCCAGAGCCAGCCUUUCCUUGGCUUCUGGUAGGUCUGUUCUGCAUGCCACCCACCUCCCCUGGUGUCCCGUGGCUCACCAUCAAUCUUGAAUCCCAUAGCUGCUUGAAUCUGCUGCUGGGUUUCUCCUCCUGUUGUCAGCUGGAGCAUGGCCAACACCGAGGCCACCCCAUAGGGUGAGAAAACCACGUUGCGGUCCUUGGAGGGCUGGAGACAUCUGCAUCCUAGAGCAAUGGAAAGAGGGCUGGUGAAGGAAUCGUUCUGGAAGACAGGCGGGAGGGGAGGGGAGCUGGCCAGCUGUGGGCCCUGCUCUUCUUGUUUCCUGCAAGCAGGUGGUAAGUGAACACUAGGGCAAGGUGCAGGAAGAGACCAUGACAUGUUCAGGUUCUAAGCCCAUCCCACUCCGUCUCACUCAGACUGACUUAUCCCCGGGCAGUGGCAGGGAGUCUUCGCCCAUCUUGCCCUGUGGGAAUCUUGGAAUCCAGUCCAUCUCCCUUCCCUCUGUGUCCCGUAAAAAAGCCUUAGAAGAAAAGCAGGUGAGAAGUCAUUACCACUCUCUGCCUUUGCAGCCCAGGGGGAAUUUAGCCCAGACUCAAUUAUCAAUUAUCACAACAUCUUUGAUUUGCAUAAGCUUUAAAUUUGCUUUCUUUUCUUUUCUUUCUUUUCUUUCUUUCUUCCUCUUUCCUCUUUCUUUCUUUCUUUCUUCUUUACUUCCUUCCUUCUUUCCUCUCUCUCUUUCUCUCUCUUUCUUCCUUCCUUUCAUUCAUUUUUAGAGACAGGGUCUUGCUCUGUCACCCAGGCUGGGUGCAAUGGCUCAGUCUUGGCUCCCUGCAGCCUCCGCCUCCCCAGCUGAAGCAAUCCUCCCACCUCAGCCUCCCAAGUAGCUGGGAAUACAGGCACACCAGCACGCCCAGCUAAUUUUUGUAUUUUUUUGGGAGAGCAGGGUUUUGCCAUGUUGCCCAGGCUGGUCUCAAACUCCUGGGCUCAAGUUAUCUGCCUGCCUCAGCCUCACAAAGUGCUGGGAUUACAGGCAUGAGCCACAGUGCCCAGCCUUAAUUCUCUUAAUGCUUUCCCAGCGAUUGUUUCAUUCAAGUUAGCAGGCAUGAGGUGGGAAAUGGGUAAGUGUCUUGAUGCAGAGGGACUGAGAGAGUCAAGGUUCUUGUUACUGGGUGAUGGGGUUGUUGGUGACGCCUGACCAUCCUCCCUGCUCUCCUGCAGUCACCCCUAGGGCAGGGUCGACCCAAGGCUGCAGGUCCGAGGAAAAGAAAAUAGAGGAAUAGCGGGGGAUCAUGGAGGGAGGAGAUUCUGGGGAGGCGAGUUCUCUGCCUUAAGCCCGAAGUAAGAGGUUGGAGGGAGUUUGCUUUUCUCCUACCUGAAGUUCUCAGAGGUGCCUUGCGAUUGGCGGUUCGUCCUGCUCUGGCGGCGGC
Molecule: long non-coding RNA, 3196 nt
Filed under: Homo sapiens (human)
Lineage: Eukaryota; Metazoa; Chordata; Mammalia; Primates; Hominidae
Description: non-protein coding lnc-VGF-4:1
Source: RNAcentral